Molecule: ribosomal RNA, 250 nt
Filed under: uncultured Prevotellaceae bacterium
Lineage: Bacteria; Pseudomonadati; Bacteroidota; Bacteroidia; Bacteroidales; Prevotellaceae
Description: partial 16S ribosomal RNA
Rfam family: Bacterial small subunit ribosomal RNA
Source: RNAcentral
CGGCGACCGGCGCACGGGUGCGUAACGCGUAUCGAACCUACCACAUACUCAGGGAUAGCCUUGCGAAAGUAAGAUUAAUACCUGAUGUUAUUAAACAAUCGCAUGAUGGUUUAAUCAAAGAUUUAUUGGUAUGUGAUGGCGAUGCGUCUGAUUAGGUAGUAGGCGGGGUAACGGCCCACCUAGCCAUCGAUCAGUAGGGGUUCUGAGAGGAAGGUCCCCCACAUUGGAACUGAGACACGGUCCAAACUCC